GGGUCAUCUUUGGCGCCCCCUAAAACGUAAACCGUGGGGUGCAGCGUCAUGAUUUUUACAACUUUGAAUGGCCAUGGAGUGUAGAUUGGCCUGAGCAAAUUUGGUGUCAGUGGGACGAAAGCCUUAGGAGGAGUUAGCGAAAUUCCAAUGUGUGCGAAUCGGCAAAAAAUGCAAAAUAGCCCUUUUACCGUACAUUAUACAGAUACGCGCGCAUUGACUUUUUUGUAGAUCUUAUUGAGAUACAUGUGUGUGUCAAUUUUUGUGUCAUUUUGACAAAGCGUACAGGCGUGACACUCAACAAUGUGUAUUUUCACCUUAGGGGACAAGAAAAAAUGGACUUUUUUCUCCUGCCAUGGGGGGGCGCUCUUUUGGGGAGUAAAAAUUCCUUCACAAAUGUGUUGAUGGCUGGACAUUGCAUCAUCCUAGAAAACUUGGAGGCCAGUGAGGGCAAAAAAUAAAAAGUUAUAAGACUUUUAAAUAUGUGGAUUUUAGUGUUAUCUUUGGCGCCCCCUAGAACCUAAACCGUGGGGUGCAGGGUCAUGAUUUGAAUAACUUUUAAUGGCCAUGGGGUGUAGAUUGGCCUGAGCAAAUGUGAUGCCGGUGGAACGAAAGCCUUCGGAGGAGUUAGCGAAAUUCCAAUGUGUGCGGAUCGGCAAAAAAUGCGAAAUAACCCUUUAACCGUACAUUUGACAGAUACGCCCGCACUGACUUUUUUGUAGAUCUUAUUGAGAUACAUGUGUGUGUCAAUUUUUGUGUCAUUUUGACAAAGCGUACAGGCGUGACAGUCAAUAGUGUGAAUUUUCACCAUAGGGGGCGCUAUGGAGCCAUUUUUCAUUUUUUUGUUUGGGCGACUUCAGAAUAUCAAAUUUUUCACCAGGCCCGGUCGUCCUGCCAAAUUUCCUGAGUUUUCGUCAGUGGGAAGUGGGCCAUUUUCCAGUUUAAAGCGGAGGAAAAAUAACGAAAGAAGAAUCCAUCAGGAACAAGAGGGCUCUCGCAGCUGCUUAGCAGCUACGCUCGGGCCCUAAGAAAGAAAGAACUAGGACCCCGUUGGGGCACUGGCGGGCCCGAGCCGUGUCGCCCCCCCCCCCCCAACGUGCUGCCUCCCCGUCCCAUUUGUGUCCUCUGGCCAUCGCCCUCUCUGGUAACGCCCAUCACUGCAAAGACCCUUUUCCUUCAUCGGCGUUUGCUGUUCUUCCUGCCAGUGCGUGUUGCUUUCACUUACACUUGCCACAGCCAGCCUCGUGAGUGCCUAGCCUAUUCGAUAUCACUGUCACCUACACAGGACAGUCAUUACCUUUCUAUUAAUACUUUGUUUUUUAAUUUCACAUUAAUUUCCAUAUUGUAUAAACGACUGGAAAAAACUUGAGCCCCUGCCCCUGUAUAAUCAUGUGCAUGUCUCUGUUCUAGCUCCAAGGUGAAUCUUCACUGCUCAUGUUCUCCUCAGAAGCAGUCACCUCACUCCCCUCAGGUUACUGUACACAUGCACCAACUGCCUGCUUCAGGUUUGGAUGGAGCUUCAUGGUUGUCUUUUGGAGAAAUGACCAGUCAAGUUGUGUUUGAAAUUUGAUUUUUUUCAGGGGCAAAAGGAGCCUCUGCAUUCUUGUCAAAUAUGUAAAUAGCAUGUUUUUGCAGGUGCUAAAAACCAGACUCUGAGUGUGUGUGUGUGUGUGUGUGUGUGUGUGUGUGUGUGUGUGUGUGUGCGUGUGUGUGUGUCUGUGUGUGCGUUCAAGUCACAUGACAUAUUUAACCGGAUGUAGCUGCAAGACGGAGCCUCGUUGACUCUCCGUUUCAACUUAUCUCAAAAGUGAGGACCUCAACCUAUAUACCAGUUUUUAAAUUGUGUUGAUAGGCCAAAUAAAACCAGAGUUAUGAUAAAUUAUGUCCGCGAUACUUUUUUUCUGCUUAUUUUGAUCACGUUCGGCGCUCGAUCGCGCUGUAUGAGACAGGAAAACAUAGCAUGCAGACAUUAGCGACAGGUCUUACAGGCAAGGGUACCCAGAUGCAGCGCCAAGAUGGCGGACCCAAAGAUAGAAAACCACAUUUACAAAACGCAAUAAGUUUCCGCAUUACCUCCGAUUGGCGGACCCAAAACAUGAACUUUGAACUUCUGCUUUGCGAUGCCAGAACAGUAGGUGGCGGUAUGCACCUACACUUUCUGACGGCAAAAUUUACAGAAGAAGAAGAACUCUCAGGAAGUUUGAAAAGAAGCAAGCCGUCCGCAUUCAUUCAAUCUCACCUCCGACCACUCAAACUAACCCUAACCCUGCAUUCCAUUGUUUCCAUCAUGGGAAAUCUAAGUGACGCUCUCAAAUUAACAGGAACAUUGCGCAGAAGAUAUGGCCUGGGCAAUGGACUGAGAAAACGGGCAGAGAUUUGGAGGUAUUUGUGCAUGCUCUAUAUUACAGUUGAAAAGUGUAUAACAGCUUUCCAAUGCUGUUACUUGUGGCGAACACCUUUUUGCUUGAGUUGAUGCGUGCCCGCGGGUGGAAUAAUGUCACAUGUCACACACAUUUUCUGUUGUUUUGAUUUAUUUACUCAUUCAUCAUUUUAUGUGCGCACCUCUCCUAAUCAACCCACCCAUUAAAUAGACAGGCACAAUAGCACCAUCUGCUGGCACAAAAAAUACAUAACAAUAAACUGCAAAAC
RNAcentral lists this long non-coding RNA (2646 nucleotides) under Xyrichtys novacula (pearly razorfish). The record is from RNAcentral. Lineage: Eukaryota; Metazoa; Chordata; Actinopteri; Labriformes; Labridae.